This is a small nuclear RNA of Ailuropoda melanoleuca (giant panda), 107 nucleotides long. NCBI's taxonomy places the organism in Eukaryota, Metazoa, Chordata, Mammalia, Carnivora, Ursidae. The record is from Ensembl.
GUGCUCACUUCGGCAGCACAUAUACUAAAAUUGGAACGGUACAGAGAAGGUCAGCACAGCCCCUGCACGAGGAUGACAUGCAAAUUUGUGACGCAUUCCAUAUUUUU